Molecule: long non-coding RNA, 7251 nt
Filed under: Nicotiana benthamiana
Lineage: Eukaryota; Viridiplantae; Streptophyta; Magnoliopsida; Solanales; Solanaceae
Description: long non-coding RNA (NBEN_LNC008406)
Source: RNAcentral
GGAAACCCACGAGCAACACAGACUAAGAGUGAAAUAUUAUAUACGGCUCUAACAUCCAGGAGUGUCUACAACAAGUGAGUACAUGAACGAAACUACUAGCUAAAGGUAGAAUAGAAGGAGACUCUUUGGCUCUGCGGACGCGGCAGAUGCACACCUCGAAUCUCCAAGUGUAUCUGCGAGAUCACUAAUAGCGCGCCCGUCCAGAAGUACCUGGAUCUGCACAACAAAAGUGUGCAGAAGAGUAGUAUGAGUACACCACAGCGNNNNNNNNNNNNNNNNNNNNNNNNNNNNNNNNNNNNNNNNNNNNNNNNNNNNNNNNNNNNNNGUAUGAGUACACCACAGCGGUACUCAGUAAGUGCCAAGCCUAACCUCGGUUGGGUAGUGACGAGGAAGGUCGAGGCCCUAUUGAGAUAAACAUAAGAAUAGAUAUGAAAUGAAUAAACAAUAAGAAAUACAAUAAAUCUCGAGUAUCUAACAAACAAUAAGUAGAAUGGAACAGGCUAAAAAUACAAUCUACGAAUACAAGAUCAACACUCAAAAAUCAGGAUGCCACAUGGAGCUCCGAGAAUUGAACCCGCAGUCCAUUUUACCAAUAUCUGAUGAUCUCCGGGAAUUGAACCCGCAGUCCAUCACCACAUGGAGCUCCGGUAAUUGAACCCGCAGUCCACUUUACCAAUAUCUGAGGAUCUCCGGAAAUCGAACCCGUAGUCCAUCAUAUCAAUAUUAGAGGAUCUCCCGGGAAUCGAACCCGUAGUCCAUCUUAUCAAUAACAGAGGAUCUCCCAGGAAUUGAACCCGUAGUCCAUCAUAUCAAUUACAGAAGAUCUCCCGGGAAUUGAACCCAUAGUCCAUCAUAUGAAUAAUAGCUGAUCUCUUGGGAAUUGAACCCGUAGUCCAUCAUAUUAAUAACAGAGGAUCUCCCGGGAAUUGAAUCCGUAGUUCAUCAUAUCAAUAAUAGAGGAUCUCCCGGGAAUUGAACCCGUAGACCAUCAUAUCAAUAAACACAUCACAACAAUUCAAUAUUUAACAGAAAGAAGCUAACUACAAGCAACAUGUAAAAUCUAGAGUCUAGCAUGCUCACAAAAAGGACAGAUAUUGCAAUUUAGUCAAUUAGAGCAAAUAAGUUACUAACAUGCUUUCCCUAAGCUAAAACAAGAAACAAAAAAGGACAGAUAUUGCAAUUUAGUCAAUUAGAGAAAUAAGUUACUAACGUGCUUUUCCUAAGCUAAAACAAGCGAAAUUGCAUUUUUGACAGUUAAAUAGGUGAAGAAACACAGUCUAAAUAAGUCAAGUAAGGUGGAUUUUAAUAACUAGCACAAGUACACGCCCUUCACCUCGCGCACAAGGAAUUUAAACAACAACAAAGAUAUCCUAAGGGGAGAGGUACCCCACACAAGGUUAGACAAGACACUUACCUCGAAUUGGUACAAAACCGCUAAGAAACAAUGCCCUUGCCACGAGAGUCCGACUCCGAGUGGCCCAAAUCUAUUCAAACAAAUUACAUAUUGUAAAUAACAUCGCAAGUAACUAAUUACACUGUUAAAAUUAAAGCUAAGGCACGAGUAUCCGAUUCCGAGUGGCCCAAAUCUAUUCAAACCAAUUACAUAUUAUAAAUAACAUCGCAAAUAACUAAUUACACUAUUAAAAUUAAAGCUAAAGCGUGAAAAUAGGUGAAAUGACCAAAAUCCCCCCUCAGGUAAUGUCUCGGAAUCGAAUAAUUUUUACAUUUUCAGAAAUCUUGUACUCUCACGAGUCUAACCAUAUAAAAUCUCCCAAAUAGGAGGUCAAAUACCCCUUCAACUUAUCAAAGUUAGGUCUAAGAACUUUAUCCCAAUUUUCAUUCAAAAUCCGAAAUUAAAUCUUGAAUUCAAGAUUAUAUUAGCGGGUAAUAAUCAUAAUGGAGUAAGGAAUCGUUACCCAGUGUUUUCCUGUGAAAAUCCCUCGAAAAAUCUCCCAACACCGAGCUUUCUAGCUUAAGUUUGAUGAAAAGGGAAGAAACCUCGUUUUCGAAAUAUUAAUGUCUGCCCAGGUAUUUCGUAAAUCGCGAUCGUGAAGAGAGAGACGCUAUCGCAAAGAGUAAAAUAGAGGCUUCCGGGAAAAAGCCAUACGCGAUUGCGGAAAAGAGCAUGCGAUCGCGGACGAGGAUGAAAUGGCCUUACGUGAUCGCGUAAGAAGGAACGCGAACGCGAAGAGGGGAGAGGUAGAGUUACGCGAUCGCGAACAAAUCCCUGCGAUCGCAAUUAAGGAAGUUGGGACCCUACCAGAUUGGCCUAUGCGAUCGCGUGAAAUGGGACGCGAUCACGAAGAAGGAAAAAUAGGCCUGCAACAUCUGAAGAAUUGUGCAAUGUUUUCAACUCCAAAAAUGCUCCUUGAGCAUUCGAAACACACCCGAGGCCCCCGAGACCUCAACCAAACCUACGGACAUAUCCCAUAACACUAUUAAAACUUGUACCAAUCCUUAAACCACCUAAAACAACACCGGCAACUUGAAUUAAUCAAUGAUUUGAACUUAAAAACUUCAAAACUUAACCAAACUCUCUUUCGGUUCAAAACAUAACCAAAACAUCUCUGUUUGACCUGAAAUUAUGCACGCAUGUCCCAAUUGAUAUGACGGUGCUACAGAGACUUCCGGAAUCCUGUUCCUACCCUCAGAUAAGAAAUUCACUAUCGGAUCGGAAACUUCAAAUUUCUAGCUUUCGGCAUUUUUAGCCUAAAUGAGCUACGGACAUCCAAAAUACAUUUCUAGCACGCUCCCAAACCCCAAAUCACCUAACAGAGCUAACGAAACCAUCGGUUUUCCAUUCUGAGGUCGUCUUGACAUUGUUCUGAUUACGAACUAUUUUUCAACACUUAAGCUCUCAUUUAUGGACUAAGUGUCCCAAAACACUCCGAAUUCUAUUAUCGAACAUCCCGGCAAAACAAAAUAGUAUAAAUGAACUUAGGAAAAACAGUUAAUGGGGAAACGGGGCAUAAAUUCAAAAGACGACCGGCUGGGUCGUCACAUCCGGGGCUCGGGUUUUGCCAACUUCGUGAUUUUUGGUGUUUUUCGAGUCUUUUCGAUUGGGUUGUGUUCUAUUAGCCCAUUGUAAUGUAUUCGUUGGGGUUUUGGUUAGAUUCGAUGCAGGAGGAGGUCAAUACGAGAGGAAAUGGCAUUGGGAGCUAGUCUUCGGCCAGUUUGAGGUGAGUAAUAGAUGUAGAUGAUGACCUGAUGGUUUGAAACCCUAGUAUAUCACAUUGUGACUCUGUAACGAGGCGAGACACGUCCUCUACAGUGAGUGCGGGUACGUUUGUGGAUGGGGACUAUUUCUUAGUCCGUCCGAGUGAUGUUCACACUGUGUUAUUUACUAGAAAUUGAUCGGUAAACAUCCUACUUGAAUUGUUAUGAGUAUAUUUGGGCUGCACGCCGAUUAUUUGGAUCCCUUAGGGAUUAUUGUCAUUGUUUCCAAGAUGUUGAGCAUGUUUUCAUGAUAUCAGUACUGAGUUAAACACUGUCUCAAAAUGAUCAGUAAAUUUCUAAGGCUUAAACGCUUAAGCUAUAAUUCCUGAUAAUUAGAACUGAAAAUGAUAAAUUUGAUUGUGCUUGUGUGGCUUGCAUGCAUAUAACUGGACUGAUUGUGGAUCGGGCUGCACGCCACAUCGAAUGCUAUGAUGAUAUUGUGCUUGGGCUGUAGGAGAUCUUCCAGAGCCUGAACACCCACACUGAGCGCGGGUACCCAAAUGGAUAGUGUUGUACUCCGCAGCGGUCAUGUGCAUUGCAUUGAUGCAUUGAUAUCUAGUUGUCUACCUGUCAUUGAUUGUUGUUGUUUCACUGUUAAAUGUGCUAAGUUGUUAGUCUCAGCUUUACACUGUGGUAUUUUCAAGAUUUGUUACUUUUAGUUAUUAUAUAUGUCUAUUACCACCGAGUUGGAAGUACUCACUUCACUCUUUGCACCAUGUGUGCAGAUACAGGAGCAUCACGAGCUUAGGUGUACUGUUGUUGUUCCCAGAUUUAUCCUGGAGUUGUCGAUGUAGCUGCUAGGCAUCCGCAGGACCCGACUCCUCCCAUAUCAUUUUUUUUCCCGCAUCUUAGACUUUUAUUUGUUUUGAUUUGCUACUCAGUUGUACUUAAAGGCUCUAGACUCAUGACCCCAGAUUUGUUGGGAGUUGUACUGGUAUUGCUUAUGGUUUCCGUACUAUUUCUAUCUAUUAUCACUACUUGAACUAUACAAUCUGAAAAUUUAACUCUAUUAAUUAGUAAUGGGUUUCGUAUUUGGGUUGAGAGUGUUCAAUGGUCGGGCUUGCCUAGCAAAUAUUGUUGGGCUCUAUCACGGCCGGUAUUGGGGUCGUGACACCAGACCAUGGAAUAAAUUAGGAUGAUUUCAUUUAGUGUUGUGCCUUUCCACUUAGUGAAUCAAGUCUGAACCUUAGCCUAGAGCAAUUAAAAUUUCUUCAAGCCUUCUUUAAUUAAUUAGGCCCUUUAAUAGUUUGUGGUGCGCUAUGCCAAAUAUAAAUCUCAAAUGUGUGGCCCUCACUUAGCUAGCCAUAUAGCGAAUUUUCCAUGGCCCUCGCAAAUUUAAAAAUGCGUAGUUGCUUUAGGCGCGUAUUUUAAAAUUACCUUUCUAAAUUCAGGUGUGUAUUUCAUAUGACCCAAAUCCAUAUCUUAACAACGUUAAAUAAAAUAUGUCUCUGACUACAGGUGCAUUUCAUGUGGUGCGGUACAAAGACGUAUUUUAGAUGACGUUAAAAUCUUCCUUAAAAUAAUUAAAAGUAAUUUUUAAAGUUAAAAUGCACAUAGGUUUAAAAGUUUUCUAAAAUCAUAUAAUUAGGCCAAUAAUAACAGUUGAGAGACCGUGCUAGAACCACGAACUCGGAAAUACCUAACACCUUUUCCCGAUUAACAGAAUUCCUUACCCGAAUUUUUGUUUUCGCGGACUGAAAAACAGAGUCAAUCUUUCCUCGAUUCAGGUUUCUAAAUCGAUGACUUGGAACAUCAUGAAUUAUCCCAAGUGACGACUCUAAAUUUUUUUAAAUAAAAUAAUCCUGUUUUGAUAGUCAUUUUAAGUUAGAAAUAAGCUCUCUUAUAACCUUUGCAGAUAUAUGAAAAAUGAGGUGUAACAGCUCGGCUAUCACAUGUAUCUCCUACAAAGACUGAAUGGAAUAAUUAUGCAGAAAUCUUUAUUUCACCAACACAUUCCUUCAAUGGUCGAGUAGUUCAAAUAACUAAUUUCUUGUCUUUAUGAAACACCAACUCUAAAUAUAGCUUGGAAGUAUAUGUUAAGUUGCAUAAAAAGUUUGUUAAGGAGAUUUGAAGCCUAAAAUUUGGAUAUAGAAAGAAUAUUACUACUUAUAUAAAGGUAGAAACUAAUUACUUACAUCAAGAAGAAGAGUUACGGUAAGACAGGAUCACCAUUCUCCUCUCACGACAUAAAUUUAAUAUUGAAUCGUAUUCGCCUCUUUUAUUAUCUGGAAAUGACUGAAAACAUGUUUCUACUCAAUCCAAGCUUAUUUAUAAUUUGAAAUAAUUUAUUUGAAACACCAUCUGCAUAUCAAUUGCAAAUUAAUUACUGUCCUAGUCAUAUUAAAGAAGUACCACUACUGAAAGAAAUUGUUGAUCAAGCGUGUACAACAGAAAAGCAUAGACAAAUUCAUCAGUUAAAGCCUCAUUAAGCUCUCAUAUACAUUUAAAUCCGACUGUCAAAAAAUUAUCACACAAUGAAUAUUCAACAACUGAAGAAAUAUCAUAACUGACAAUUUUAUCAAUCAAGCAAGUAAAACUACAAAGGUCAGCACCAACUAUUAAGUAUUGCAAUAAUAUUUUCAAAACAUACAAAAAAUAAUUUUAUAAAAAACCUAAAUUUUCACAUUGUUGCAUAAAACUUUUUAUGUCAAGAUCAGCACAACGUUUCUUAAACUAACCACAAUCAUGCAGAACCAAAAACUUACUUCAUAAGGUAUGAAAGUAUUUUAGAAUCUUAGUAUAAAACCAACAGUAGCAAAAUAUUUAAUUUGAAAUUAUAAAAAUUACCCAAUAGAUAUAAACCUCAUCGCGGUUGUUAUCGAUUAUUUCUUUCAUCCAUAAAGUCUCCAAAAAUGAUACAUGUUAGUAUCCACAAAUUAUUUGACUUCAUGGGGUUGAUCUUCACUUGAGGCCAGCAGACAUAACUAUCUCAUCAUGAAUAGAUGAUUUGAACACAAGAACCUUCAUGUUAGUAGCCUUACUGAGGAAACUUUCGAGAACAUUGAAUGUCUCUUUUGUUGAUCAUUCUUAAAGGUAAAGUAAAGACUUACGGGACUACCUCAUUAUAAGGAAACCACCGAUCACUGGAGAAUUGACUUUCAGUUGAAUAACUUGACAUUUGAUCCUUUUUUAUCAUCCGUAAUUUCAUGAUAUGGAUAUGAAAUUUCCUGAUAUUUCAAGUGUCAUGGUAGUUUGAUACUGAACUCAAGUUGUAACUCUGUAGAAGUAUGAGUGAAAGAAAUGAAAGCAUUAAAAUAAAAAAUACUAUACUAUCAAAAAGAGACGAUGUACCAAUAAAAUAUAACUUUUAUUGUCAGAAAGCGUCAAAGUUAUAAAAAACACAAUGACAAAAAUCAAAAUUGAUCUCAAAAGAAUAUCUGUAUAAAUUUACAGAGAAUCUUAACCUAAUUUUUGUAUAUAUUGUAGCUCCAUAAGUUGUAUUUCAAACGGCACAAACAGAUCAUAGUUUUGACAUGUUUGCAAAAAGAUAUAAUUUUUUUAGUGAGGACGCGUAAAGGAUACCAAUAUAUGUUAAAUAAAUUCAAAAGCAUAUAUUUAUGAAUAUACAAAGAAUCUAGAUCUGUUUUUUGUAUAUAUUUGGUUCUCGAAGAGCUCUUUUCAACGGCACAAGCGAAUCAUGAUUUUGAGGCAUCUACAAAAAGAUAUAACUUUUUUAGUCAAGACGUGUUGUUUCUAAAAAUUUCAUCAUUCAUGGGUAGAAUUAUUUGAGGAAAGAAGGAUUGAGAAGAAAGAAAGUGUAAAGAAAAGAGAUGUGACCUCUUCUGUGACCUAACUUCAUGAGGUUGAUAAAAUGGUGUAUCUCCACGCCAAAAUUGUCUACUUCAACAUCUGAUGAAAGUUGAAAACAAUAGAUUUGUUGGCAGGGAUAAAAGUCACUAAAUUAAAUAAUUAUUUUCUUGAUAGGUUGAAUGUCUAUAAGAAUAAGUUAUGGCCGUCCAUUAGAAUUAUUAUUUCAAGCCCACAUUUGAAAAGACAAACUGGUGGUUUUAUUUUUCUUUUCCUACUUCAUUGUAA